RNAcentral lists this unclassified non-coding RNA (222 nucleotides) under Hevea brasiliensis (rubber tree). The record is from RNAcentral. Lineage: Eukaryota; Viridiplantae; Streptophyta; Magnoliopsida; Malpighiales; Euphorbiaceae.
GUGCUGUAGAGAUUUCACGUCGCGUAUGUUUCUGCUUAUACUGCUCGCUGUAUCAACUAUUGAACUGUACUACUACUUGAACUUGCUCGUUUAUUGGAUAUUUCUUUUUGGCUCCUUGUUUGAUACAUGUCUCUUUUAUCUUGGUUGUUUCUUUGCUGCUUGUCAUCGGCAGAGCAAUAACUAAUAGAAAGCUUUGUAAAAUAAAAUUUUGUUAAAUCAAAA